Molecule: long non-coding RNA, 288 nt
Organism: Zophobas morio
Lineage: Eukaryota; Metazoa; Arthropoda; Insecta; Coleoptera; Tenebrionidae
Exons: 3
Source: RefSeq, a predicted model, not a curated record
CUAAAAAAACUUUUUCGUAUGUCUACGAGUACAACUUAAUAAAGUUUCGAAACUGCUUCGAGACCGUAUUAUGCCACGCCUGGUCUCCCACUCUGCUCUAAAAGCAAAUAAGUUGCUCGAUAAGUUUGGUGCCCACGUAAAGGAGCUUUACUAUAUUAACAGUGGACAAUCUAAAGCCGCCAGUCCGGAACGGAAGAGCAUGACAAUGUGUUAAGCGAGUGCAGAAGAUUUAACAAACAUCCUUUAUUUAUAUACGAUGUAGUUGGAAACGCCAUAGUACCUUCAGGG